This 65-nucleotide transfer RNA is filed under the name Stictopleurus subviridis. Its description in RNAcentral is "tRNA-Leu". It matches the Rfam family "tRNA". From Rfam's summary of the family: Transfer RNA (tRNA) molecules are approximately 80 nucleotides in length. Their secondary structure includes four short double-helical elements and three loops (D, anti-codon, and T loops). The record is from RNAcentral. Lineage: Eukaryota; Metazoa; Arthropoda; Insecta; Hemiptera; Rhopalidae.
GCUAUUUUGGCAGAAUAGUGCGAUAAAUUUAGAAUUUAUAAAUGUAAUUUAUGUUACAAAUAGUA